Salarias fasciatus (jewelled blenny) is the source of this 682-nucleotide long non-coding RNA. RefSeq lists it as uncharacterized. The transcript has 3 exons. NCBI's taxonomy places the organism in Eukaryota, Metazoa, Chordata, Actinopteri, Blenniiformes, Blenniidae. The record is from RefSeq and is a predicted model, not a curated record.
UCCUCCCCGCGACCGCUACAUUCUGCGCCGAAACCCUGCUCUCCCGGUCCGGACUUUAACUUCUUCCCACAGACCUAGUGGUACCUCGUUGGGUACCGGGAGGCGGUUUGGACUACUGGCAUCACGGAUUGAGUGCGAUUUUGCGCGGAUGACGACUCCUUCAACGAGAAUUUAGUAAAAGAAAAUUGGUCGGAAAUUUCAGAAUAUGUGGAGGAGACCCUAAUUUCAGCAUCCUGGAAGUAGAAAGCACAGAAGAGCUGUGUCUCACACAACAGACAGGUGCCGUGAGUGGCCGGAGCAGCUCGGAGGAAGGACGCUCCGCGGAGGCGGCGGUGCGGCAGCUCGCCUCUCCGGCUGUGGACGUGCUGGGUGGCGACCCCCAGGCUGCACACGAUGUGGCCGGGGAGUCGCCCGGGCGAGCCCCGCAGCCGGUCGCAGCUGCCCCCCGCCCGGCCCCUCCGCUCGCCGCCGUCAUGGAGCCGCCUCCCCCUCGCCCCUCUGCCGCCGGCACGGUGGCACAAACUGGUAAAGAGGAAAUCCGGCCGGUCAGUCCGGCCACCCAGACCGAGCCGCCGCCCCCCGCUGCUGGAUCUGUGUUUACUACGGGGGGAGAGCAGGAUUAUAACCCGGAGGCCGGACGGAACACGGAACUCACUGGAAACGAGCACACGGGUGGAAGCGU